GCCAGGCACAGUGGCGUGUGCCUGUAGUCCCUGCUACCGGGGAGGCUGAGGCUGGAGGAUCGCUUGAGUCCAGGAAUUCUGGGCUGCUGUGCGCUAUGCCGAUCGGGUGUCUGCACUAAGUUCGGCAUCAAUAUGGUGACCUCCCGGGAGUGGGGGACCACCAGGUUGUCUAAGGAGGGGUGAACUGGCCCAGGUCAGAAAUGGAGCAGGUCAAAACUCCCGUGUUGAUCAGUAGUGGGAUCGCGCCUGUGAAUAGCCACUGUACUCUAGCCUGGGCAACAUAGCGAGACCCUGUCACU
This 299-nucleotide signal recognition particle RNA is filed under the name Carlito syrichta (Philippine tarsier). Its description in RNAcentral is "Metazoan signal recognition particle RNA (ENSTSYG00000028252.1)". It matches the Rfam family "Metazoan signal recognition particle RNA". From Rfam's summary of the family: The signal recognition particle (SRP) is a universally conserved ribonucleoprotein. It is involved in the co-translational targeting of proteins to membranes. Lineage: Eukaryota; Metazoa; Chordata; Mammalia; Primates; Tarsiidae. The record is from RNAcentral.